Molecule: ribosomal RNA, 491 nt
Filed under: uncultured bacterium
Lineage: Bacteria
Description: partial 16S ribosomal RNA
Rfam family: Bacterial small subunit ribosomal RNA
Source: RNAcentral
GAUGAACGCUAGCUACAGGCUUAACACAUGCAAGUCGAGGGGAAACGGCAUCGAAAGCUUGCUUUUGAUGGGCGUCGACCGGCGCACGGGUGAGUAACGCGUAUCCAACCUGCCCAUCACUUGGGAAUAACCUUGCGAAAGUAAGACUAAUGCCCAAUGACAUCCCACGAAGGCAUCCGAAUGGGAUUAAAGAUUUAUCGGUGAUGGAUGGGGAUGCGUCUGAUUAGCUUGUUGGCGGGGUGACGGCCCACCAAGGCAACGAUCAGUAGGGGUUCUGAGAGGAAGGUCCCCCACAUUGGAACUGAGACACGGUCCAAACUCCUACGGGAGGCAGCAGUGAGGAAUAUUGGUCAAUGGGCGAGAGCCUGAACCAGCCAAGGAGCGUGCAGGAUGACGGCCCUAUGGGUUGUAAACUGCUUUUAUAAGGGAAUAAAGUGGGUCACGUGUGACUUUUUGCAUGUACCUUAUGAAUAAGGACCGGCGAAUUCCGU